CGGGUAUAGUUUAGUGGUAGAAUCUCAUGCUUCCGACCUGAUGGCGAGGGUUCGAUUCCCUCUACCC
RNAcentral lists this transfer RNA (67 nucleotides) under chicken gut metagenome. It matches the Rfam family "tRNA". From Rfam's summary of the family: Transfer RNA (tRNA) molecules are approximately 80 nucleotides in length. Their secondary structure includes four short double-helical elements and three loops (D, anti-codon, and T loops). The record is from RNAcentral.